This 344-nucleotide ribosomal RNA is filed under the name uncultured bacterium. Its description in RNAcentral is "bacterial SSU rRNA". It matches the Rfam family "Bacterial small subunit ribosomal RNA", at positions 8 to 349 of the family's 1533-position model. The record is from RNAcentral.
AGAGUUUGAUCAUGGCUCAGGAUGAACGCUAGCUACAGGCUUAACACAUGCAAGUCGAGGGGCAGCAUGUUGGUUGCUUGCAACCAAUGAUGGCGACCGGCGCACGGGUGAGUAACGCGUAUCCAACCUACCCUUGUCCAUCGGAUAACCCGUCGAAAGGCGGCCUAACACGAUAUGCGGUUCACAGCAGGCAUCUAAGGUGAAACGAAAUGUGAAGGAGAAGGAUGGGGAUGCGUCUGAUUAGCUUGUUGGCGGGUAACGCCACAAGGCUACGAUCAGUAGGGGUUCUGAGAGGAAGGUCCCCACAUUGGAACUGAGACACGGUCCAAACUCAUACGGGAGCA